AGCAGCCGCGGUAAAACGUAGGUGGCAAGCGUUAUCCGGAUUUACUGGGCGUAAAGCGUGUGCAGACGGGGCUUCAAGUGGUGUAUGAAAUCGCUCGGCUCAACCGGGCGCGGGUAUGCCAGACUGGAGUGCUAGAGGGUGCGAGAGGGACGUGGAAUUCCGGGUGUAGUGGUGAAAUGCGUAGAGAUCCGGAGGAACCCCUGAGGCGAAGGCGGCGUCCUGGCGCACACCUGACGUUCAGACACGACAGCAUGGGGAGCGAACAGG
RNAcentral lists this ribosomal RNA (267 nucleotides) under uncultured prokaryote. RNAcentral's name for it is "partial 16S ribosomal RNA". It matches the Rfam family "Bacterial small subunit ribosomal RNA", at positions 510 to 776 of the family's 1533-position model. The record is from RNAcentral.